GACGAACCGAGCGAACGUUAUUCGGAAUCACUGGGCUUAAAGGGUGCGUAGGCGGGCACGCGAGUCAGGGGUGAAAUCCCACGGCCCAACCGUGGAAGUGCCUCUAGAUACCGCGAGUCUCGAGGGGGAUAGGGGCGGUGCGGAACUUCCGGUGGAGCGGUGAAAUGACGUAGAUAUCGGAAGGAACACCGGUGGCGAAAGCGGCGCGCUGGAUCCCUACUGACGCUGAGGCACGAAAGCCAGGGGAGCAAACGG
RNAcentral lists this ribosomal RNA (255 nucleotides) under uncultured bacterium. RNAcentral describes it as "partial 16S ribosomal RNA". It matches the Rfam family "Bacterial small subunit ribosomal RNA", at positions 524 to 775 of the family's 1533-position model. The record is from RNAcentral.